GGAAAUGUGCCCGAAAGAUAGGGGCUACUUUGAUAGAGUAACAUACAGGGGUUAAAAUCCCCUCAUCUCC
Molecule: transfer RNA, 70 nt
Filed under: Ascaphus truei (coastal tailed frog)
Lineage: Eukaryota; Metazoa; Chordata; Amphibia; Anura; Ascaphidae
Description: tRNA-Ile
Rfam family: tRNA
About the family: Transfer RNA (tRNA) molecules are approximately 80 nucleotides in length. Their secondary structure includes four short double-helical elements and three loops (D, anti-codon, and T loops).
Source: RNAcentral